Molecule: ribosomal RNA, 49 nt
Filed under: Flammulina rossica
Lineage: Eukaryota; Fungi; Basidiomycota; Agaricomycetes; Agaricales; Physalacriaceae
Description: partial 18S ribosomal RNA
Source: RNAcentral
AACAAGGUUUCCGUAGGUGAACCUGCGGAAGGAUCAUUAAUGAACUUUG